AUAUAACUGUAAGAAUAGGGAAGUUGGGUGAAAUACCCACGCGGUACCGCCGCUGUAUUAGUAUCAGAGCUAUCAUAUAUGCCACUGUGGUUACACACGGGAAGGCAUGAUAUGCUUGAUGACGCUUAAGCCAGAAGACCUGCCUAAUAAUCA
This 153-nucleotide non-coding RNA is filed under the name uncultured Lachnoclostridium sp. Lineage: Bacteria; Bacillati; Bacillota; Clostridia; Lachnospirales; Lachnospiraceae. The record is from RNAcentral.